AAAAAAAAUUUUGAAGCAAAAAAAAUUUUGUUUGGACUUGUAAUAUUUUUCAAAAUUGAAUAUCGAAAGGAAAAAGGAACCGAAUAAGGAAAUGGAAAUCGAAUAAGGAAAUGGAAAUCGAAUAAGGAAAUGAAAAUCCAAUAAGGAAAUAGAAACCGAAUAAGGAAAUAGAAACCGAAUAAGGAAACAGCAAUCGAAUAAGGAAAUGAAAAUCGAAUAAGGAAAUAGAAACCGAAUAAGGAAAUAGGAAAAAGGAAUGAAUAUUGGAAAAGAAAAGAAACCAAUAAGGAAAUGGAAAUCGAAUAAGGAAAUGGAAAUCGAAUAAGGAAAUGAAAAUCCAAUAAGGAAUAAGGAAAUAGAAACCGAAAAAGGAAAUGAAUAUUGAAAAAGAAAAAGAAAAACCGAAUAAGGAAAUGAAAAUCGAAUAAGGAACUAGAAACCGAAUAAGGAAAUCGAAACCGAAUAAGGAAAUAGAAACCCAAUAAGGAAAUAGAAACUAAAUAAGGAAAUAGAAACCGAAAAAGGAAAUGAAUAUUGAAAAA
Molecule: long non-coding RNA, 542 nt
Filed under: Mytilus galloprovincialis (Mediterranean mussel)
Lineage: Eukaryota; Metazoa; Mollusca; Bivalvia; Mytilida; Mytilidae
Source: RNAcentral